ACGCUCGACACCUACAGGAGGCAGCAGUGAGGAAUAUUGGUCAAUGGGCGCAGGCCUGAACCAGCCAAGUAGCGUGAAGGAUGACUGCCCUAUGGGUUGUAAACUUCUUUUAUAUGGGAAUAAAGUUUUCCACGUGUGGAAUUUUGUAUGUACCAUAUGAAUAAGGAUCGGCUAACUCCGUGCCCGCAGCCGCGGUAAUCUGAGCGGGCUGGCAAGGC
RNAcentral lists this ribosomal RNA (218 nucleotides) under uncultured bacterium. RNAcentral's name for it is "partial 16S ribosomal RNA". It matches the Rfam family "Bacterial small subunit ribosomal RNA", at positions 328 to 539 of the family's 1533-position model. The record is from RNAcentral.